CGGGAGGCAGCAGUAGGGAAUAUUGCACAAUGGAGGAAACUCUGAUGCAGCGAUGCCGCGUGAGUGAAGAAGGCCUUUGGGUUGUAAAGCUCUUUCGUCGGGGAAGAAAAUGACGGUACCCGAAUAAGAAGGUCCGGCUAACUUCGUGCCAGCAGCCGCGGUAAUACGAAGGGACCUAGCGUAGUUCGGAAUUACUGGGCUUAAAGAGUUCGUAGGUGGUUAAAAAAGUUGGUUGUGAAAUCCCGAAGCUUAACUUCGGAACUGCAAUCAAAACUUUUUAGCUAGAGUAUGAUAGAGGAAAGCAGAAUUUCUAGUGUAGAGGUGAAAUUCGUAGAUAUUAGAAAGAAUACCAAUUGCGAAGGCAGCUUUCUGGAUCAUUACUGACGCUGAGGAACGAAAGCAUGGGUAGCGAAGAGGAUUAGAUACCCUCGUAGUCCAUGCCGUAAACGAUGUGUGUUAGACGUUGGAAAUUUAUUUUCAGUGUCGCAGCGAAGGCAGUAAACACACCGCCUGGGGAGUACGACCGCAAGGUUAAAACUCAAAUGAAAUUG
RNAcentral lists this ribosomal RNA (551 nucleotides) under uncultured bacterium. Its description in RNAcentral is "bacterial SSU rRNA". It matches the Rfam family "Bacterial small subunit ribosomal RNA", at positions 342 to 913 of the family's 1533-position model. The record is from RNAcentral.